This 122-nucleotide ribosomal RNA is filed under the name Salmonella enterica subsp. enterica serovar Typhimurium. Lineage: Bacteria; Pseudomonadati; Pseudomonadota; Gammaproteobacteria; Enterobacterales; Enterobacteriaceae. RNAcentral also lists the same sequence under 4 other names. The record is from RNAcentral.
GUCUGGCGGCAGUAGCGCGGUGGUCCCACCUGACCCCAUGCCGAACUCAGAAGUGAAACGCCGUAGCGCCGAUGGUAGUGUGGGGUCUCCCCAUGCGAGAGUAGGGAACUGCCAGACAUCAA